CUCAGAUUGAACGCUGGCGGCAGGCUUAACACAUGCAAGUCGAGCGGGGAUAGGGUGCUUGCACCUGAUUCCUAGCGGCGGACGGGUGAGUAAUGCUUAGGAAUCUGCCUAUUAGUGGGGGACAACGUUCCGAAAGGGACGCUAAUACCGCAUACGUCCUACGGGAGAAAGCAGGGGAUCUUCGGACCUUGCGCUAAUAGAUGAGCCUAAGUCGGAUUAGCUAGUUGGUGGGGUAAAGGCCUACCAAGGCGACGAUCUGUAGCGGGUCUGAGAGGAUGAUCCGCCACACUGGGACUGAGACACGGCCCAGACUCCUACGGGAGGCAGCAGUGGGGAAUAUUGGACAAUGGGGGGAACCCUGAUCCAGCCAUGCCGCGUGUGUGAAGAAGGCCUUUUGGUUGUAAAGCACUUUAAGCGAGGAGGAGGCUUACCUGGUUAAUACCUGGGAUAAGUGGACGUUACUCGCAGAAUAAGCACCGGCUAACUCUGUGCCAGCAGCCGCGGUAAUACAGAGGGUGCAAGCGUUAAUCGGAUUUACUGGGCGUAAAGCGCGCGUAGGUGGCUAAUUAAGUCAAAUGUGAAAUCCCCGAGCUUAACUUGGGAAUUGCAUUCGAUACUGGUUAGCUAGAGUAUGGGAGAGGAUGGUAGAAUUCCAGGUGUAGCGGUGAAAUGCGUAGAGAUCUGGAGGAAUACCGAUGGCGAAGGCAGCCAUCUGGCCUAAUACUGACACUGAGGUGCGAAAGCAUGGGGAGCAAACAGGAUUAGAUACCCUGGUAGUCCAUGCCGUAAACGAUGUCUACUAGCCGUUGGGGCCCUUGAGGCUUUAGUGGCGCAGCUAACGCGAUAAGUAGACCGCC
RNAcentral lists this ribosomal RNA (857 nucleotides) under Acinetobacter sp. RKEM 532. RNAcentral's name for it is "bacterial SSU rRNA". It matches the Rfam family "Bacterial small subunit ribosomal RNA", at positions 23 to 873 of the family's 1533-position model. Lineage: Bacteria; Pseudomonadati; Pseudomonadota; Gammaproteobacteria; Moraxellales; Moraxellaceae. The record is from RNAcentral.